Non-coding RNA from Pelobates cultripes (western spadefoot toad), 319 nucleotides. The record is from the annotation of a GenBank genome assembly. Lineage: Eukaryota; Metazoa; Chordata; Amphibia; Anura; Pelobatidae.
GGUACCUCCGUUAAAGGAUGCUCCUAGCGCUUCCUGAGGACUCCAAACACUGCAGCAGACACCACAACCACCGAACCACCGGAGAAGCAUAUGAAUCCUCUCAAGCAUAUGAAUGCUGUAGACAGUUGAAUAGGAACCAUACGAAUAGGUUUACUCUCCUAGAAGUCAAACUGGAACAGCAUACAAUAAAUCCUUCCCCCAAUAAUGAGACGACACUUCACUUUGAGGGUUAAAACAGGAACUCCUGUACUGUCACAUACAGUCUCUUUUAUUCCCAAUCCACAAACAUAGUACAGCCCACAGGGCGUUACAAAACAAC